UGUGAAUGUUACAUCCGUAUUUGCUUUAAUGAUGGGAAGAACACCUGGCUUUAAGCCUGGCUCACGAGUUAACUGGCACACAUGGCAGCAAAGCGGUCCUGGCACUGUGCAGCCCUUCCUCAGAGGGUUACCCAUCAGCUGCCAUACUUCCUCCAAGCCGGUGAGGACGGCAUCGGUGCUGCGAGGCUGCAGGGAGCGGUGGGACCCCACCUGUCCUGGGAUCAACACGGCGUGCAGGAAAAACCAGCUAUCACCUAUCCUGGUGAGUUCAGCCCUCCCAGGCUCACUGUGCACAUCCCAGCCCUGGCACGGUGU
This 315-nucleotide long non-coding RNA is filed under the name Gallus gallus (chicken). RNAcentral's name for it is "long non-coding RNA NONGGAT005440". The record is from RNAcentral. Lineage: Eukaryota; Metazoa; Chordata; Aves; Galliformes; Phasianidae.